GGCUCUGGGCAAACACGACGUGCUGAGAAAGCCUUGUGUUCAUUACAAAUCUCAUUCACGUCAUUUCUCUCUUCAAACAGGCUCUGGUCGCCCCACGGCUGAGUGGAGUUUGUUCAGACUGCUUGACUUUAAUGUGGUCCACCGCUGAAGAACAUUAAGCAGCACCUCUGGCUAAUUUGCUUAAUUUCUGUAAAUGAGGCCUUUGGCCUCUGGAGUGACUUUUAGCUGGAAUGGAUCAUAUUAUUAUCUGCGGUGGCCCGCGGCGUCUUACGGGGUAUUAAACCCCAUCCUCAGAUCACGGCCGCUGGAGCGAAAGAGACUUCUCCAGGACGGAUGCCGUAAUGAUGCUCAUUUUGCUGAAGCAGAGGACGAGAAUCAAGGUGGCUGAAAUCGUAGCCAACUUCUGUGUCCUCAGGCAUCCCCUGCAACAGAAGAACACUGGACAGGUAUGAGAUCACUUCAGGCUGCCAUGUCUUCAGGUCUCUGAUAUGUUUGAAUGCUGAUCCUGGAGUUUUGAUGGCGUCUCGCUGUGUUUCUGAAUUUUGGGAGCAGACAGCCGGUCACCGCUGGGAUCGUCUGACUUGUCCUCCUCCACCGUAUGUCAGCAUCUUCAGUUAGUUUGAUCCGUCACCAUCAUCCGAGUUUGUGCUCACUCACAGACAGCAUCAGGUUAUUUGUGCAGGACUGAUGGGAAUGCUGAACUGUAGGUCAUCAGGUAACAUGUCAUAUUGUUAAUUAUCCCG
Molecule: non-coding RNA, 743 nt
Organism: Misgurnus anguillicaudatus (oriental weatherfish)
Lineage: Eukaryota; Metazoa; Chordata; Actinopteri; Cypriniformes; Cobitidae
Source: RefSeq, a predicted model, not a curated record